Molecule: ribosomal RNA, 433 nt
Filed under: uncultured bacterium
Lineage: Bacteria
Description: partial 16S ribosomal RNA
Rfam family: Bacterial small subunit ribosomal RNA
Source: RNAcentral
AACGAACGCUGGCGGCAUGCCUAACACAUGCAAGUCGAACGAGACCUUCGGGCCUAGUGGCGCACGGGUGCGUAACGCGUGGGAACCUGCCCUUAGGUUCGGAAUAACUCCCCGAAAGGGGUGCUAAUACCGGAUAAUGUCUUCGGACCAAAGAUUUAUCGCCUUUGGAUGGGCCCGCGUUGGAUUAGCUAGUUGGUAGGGUAAAAGCCUACCAAGGCGACGAUCCAUAGCUGGUCUGAGAGGAUGAUCAGCCACACUGGGACAGAGACACGGCCCAGACUCCUACGGGAGGCAGCAGUGGGGAAUAUUGGACAAUGGGCGAAAGCCUGAUCCAGCAAUGCCGCGUGAGUGAUGAAGGCCUUAGGGUUGUAAAGCUCUUUUACCCGGGAUGAUAAUGACAGUACCGGGAGAAUAAGCUCCGGCUAACUCCGUG